Molecule: ribosomal RNA, 875 nt
Filed under: uncultured bacterium
Lineage: Bacteria
Description: bacterial SSU rRNA
Rfam family: Bacterial small subunit ribosomal RNA
Source: RNAcentral
AUUGAACGCUGGCGGAAUGCUUUACACAUGCAAGUCGAGCGGCAGCGCGGGGGCAACCCUGGCGGCGAGCGGCGAACGGGUGAGUAACACAUCGGAACGUACCCAGUUGUGGGGGAUAGCUCGGCGAAAGCCGGAUUAAUACCGCAUACGACCUGAGGGUGAAAGCGGGGGAUCGCAAGACCUCGCGCGAUUGGAGCGGCCGAUGUCGGAUUAGCUAGUUGGUAGGGUAAAGGCCUACCAAGGCGACGAUCCGUAGCGGGUCUGAGAGGACGGCCCGCCACACUGGAACUGAGACACGGUCCAGACUCCUACGGGAGGCAGCAGUGGGGAAUUUUGGACAAUGGGGGAAACCCUGAUCCAGCCAUUCCGCGUGAGUGAAGAAGGCCUUCGGGUUGUAAAGCUCUUUCGGCAGGAACGAAAAGGCGGGCUCUAACAUAGCCUGUCAAUGACGGUACCUGAAGAAGAAGCACCGGCUAACUACGUGCCAGCAGCCGCGGUAAUACGUAGGGUGCGAGCGUUAAUCGGAAUUACUGGGCGUAAAGCGUGCGCAGGCGGCUUUGUAAGACAGGUGUGAAAUCCCCGGGCUUAACCUGGGAACUGCGCUUGUGACUGCAAGGCUUGAGUGCGGCAGAGGGGGGUGGAAUUCCACGUGUAGCAGUGAAAUGCGUAGAGAUGUGGAGGAACACCGAUGGCGAAGGCAGCCCCCUGGGUCGACACUGACGCUCAUGCACGAAAGCGUGGGUAGCAAACAGGAUUAGAUACCCUGGUAGUCCACGCCCUAAACGAUGCCAACUAGGUGUUGGGGAAGGAGACUUCCUUAGUACCGUAGCUAACGCGUGAAGUUGGCCGCCUGGGGAGUACGGUCGCAAGAUUAV